Callorhinchus milii (elephant shark) is the source of this 681-nucleotide long non-coding RNA. RefSeq lists it as uncharacterized. The transcript is spliced from 3 exons. The record is from RefSeq and is a predicted model, not a curated record. NCBI's taxonomy places the organism in Eukaryota, Metazoa, Chordata, Chondrichthyes, Chimaeriformes, Callorhinchidae.
AAGUGCUCUAACCAACAGAUCACAGUACUCCACAAUUCAAUUUUAUUAUACAAGUUAACACUGGACCUCGGUUUAGUGUCAUAUCUAAGGUUGGCAACUCCGACAAUCCGGCACAUGCCUAGCACUGAAAUAUGGAGGUUAUUUUCAAUCUGAGCAGCUUUGUGCAAAAACGUCCCUGGUGCUACCUGGCCUGUGUGUUUUGCAGCAGUUACUUUCUCCAGUAUCAGGGGUUCCUGUUGAUAUUCCAUUGAUAUAAGGCUCAGUUGUUGUACGUUGAUGAAGAGAGGAAGAAGAUAUUUGAAAUACCGGAAGUAAUGGCAGAGCUUGUUUUUCCAGAAUACCUGUUCAAGAUGUAACAACUUCUUCUCAAAUGGUGAACAGGAAUUUUCUGGUGCAAAUAAAUGGAGGAAAGCAGAGUUCCUCGAGAGCCUGGAUGAAAGGAACGCUGAGGGAUGACCAAACCACCAGGGCUCAGUACUGAUUCUGCCAAUUAGAAUGAAGUCAGGAGCUCAAUAUGGUCAGUGUCUGAGGUGAGUUUAAUAACAUUGGCCACAAACAUUACAAAAGAGCACUUCAACAACAAUCUUGUUUAACAAACACAAAUUUAUUUGAUUUUUCCAAAAUCUUGUUUUGCUUUCAACUGAUUAUACUAAUUUCAAGGCUUAUUGUUUCCCAAGCAGA